GAUGAACGCUGGCGGCGUGCCUAAUACAUGCAAGUCGAGCGAACGGUCGAGAAGCUUUCUUCUCUGAGGUUAGCGGCGGUCGGGUCAGUAACAUGUGGACAACCUACCUAUCAGACUGGGUUAACUUUGCCACACCUCAUCUAAUACCGGAUGAUAUUUUGAACAGCAUGGUUCAACAGUUAAAUACGGUCUUUCUGUCACUUAUAGAUGAAUCCGCGCUGCAUUCGCUAGUUGGUAAGGUAACGGAUUACCAACGCAACGAUGCAUAGCCGACCUGAGUGGGUCAGAGGCCACACUGGAACUGAGGCACGUUCGAGACUCCUACGGGAAGCAGCAGUAGAGAUUCUUCCGCGAGGGGUGAAUGCCUGACGGUGCAACGGCGCGUGAGUGAUGAAGGUCUUCGGAUCGUAAAACUCUGCUAUUAGGGAAGUACAAAUGUGUAAGUACCUGUGCAGAUCUUGACGGUACCUAGUCAGAAAGCUCCGGCUAACUACGUG
RNAcentral lists this ribosomal RNA (497 nucleotides) under uncultured bacterium. RNAcentral's name for it is "partial 16S ribosomal RNA". It matches the Rfam family "Bacterial small subunit ribosomal RNA", at positions 28 to 507 of the family's 1533-position model. The record is from RNAcentral.